AGCUCCAAUAGCGUAUAUUUAAGUUGUUGCGGUUAAAAAGCUCGUAGUCGUAUUUCGGGUGCCGCUGCCUGGUCCGCUCGUCGAGAGUGUGCAUCGGGCGGCGGCAUCUUUUUGUGCGGGCCGCGCUCCUGGGCUUGAUUGUCCGGGACGCGUGCCGCACGAGGUCACUUUGAGUAAAUUAGAGUGUUUAAAGCAGGCGUGCGCUGUGCAUAUGUCAGCAUGGGAUGACACGAUAGGACCUCGGUCCGUGCGUCGGUUUGCGGGUCCGGGGUAAUGAUCGAUAGAGACGAUUGGGGGCGUUCCUAUUCCGUUGUCAGAGGUGAAAUUCUUGGAUUUACGGAAGAGGAUCAACUGCGAAAGCAUUCGCCAAGGGCGUCCUCG
RNAcentral lists this ribosomal RNA (381 nucleotides) under uncultured eukaryote. Its description in RNAcentral is "SSU rRNA". It matches the Rfam family "Eukaryotic small subunit ribosomal RNA", at positions 587 to 972 of the family's 1831-position model. The record is from RNAcentral.